This 73-nucleotide transfer RNA is filed under the name Candidatus Margulisiibacteriota bacterium. Its description in RNAcentral is "tRNA-Arg". It matches the Rfam family "tRNA". From Rfam's summary of the family: Transfer RNA (tRNA) molecules are approximately 80 nucleotides in length. Their secondary structure includes four short double-helical elements and three loops (D, anti-codon, and T loops). Lineage: Bacteria; Bacillati; Candidatus Margulisiibacteriota. The record is from RNAcentral.
GCGGCUAUAGCUCAGUGGAUAGAGCAUUGGCCUCCGGAGCCAAGGGUCGUGCGUUCAACUCGCACUAGCCGCA